GACGAACGCUGGCGGCGUGCUUAACACAUGCAAGUCGAACGGAAAGGCCCUGCUUUUGUGGGGUGCUCAAGUGGCGAACGGGUGAGUAACACGUGAGUAACCUGCCCUUGACUUUGGGAUAACUUCAGGAAACUGGGGCUAAUACCGGAUAGGAGCUCCUGCUGCAUGGUGGGGGUUGGAAAGUUUCGGCGGUUGGGGAUGGACUCGCGGCUUAUCAGCUUGUUGGUGGGGUAGUGGCUUACCAAGGCUUUGACGGGUAGCCGGCCUGAGAGGGUGACCGGCCACAUUGGGACUGAGAUACGGCCCAGACUCCUACGGGAGGCAGCAGUGGGGAAUAUUGCAAAAUGGGCGGAAGCCUGAUGCAGCAACGCCGCGUGCGGGAUGACGGCAUUCGGGUUGUAAACCGCUUUCGCCUGUGACGAAGCGUGAGUGACGGUAAUGGGUAAAGAAGCACCGGCUAACUACGUG
Molecule: ribosomal RNA, 468 nt
Filed under: uncultured bacterium
Lineage: Bacteria
Description: partial 16S ribosomal RNA
Rfam family: Bacterial small subunit ribosomal RNA
Source: RNAcentral